Molecule: transfer RNA, 70 nt
Filed under: Daphnia pulex (common water flea)
Lineage: Eukaryota; Metazoa; Arthropoda; Branchiopoda; Diplostraca; Daphniidae
Also listed under: 1 other name
Description: tRNA-Lys
Rfam family: tRNA
About the family: Transfer RNA (tRNA) molecules are approximately 80 nucleotides in length. Their secondary structure includes four short double-helical elements and three loops (D, anti-codon, and T loops). Further hydrogen bonds mediate the characteristic L-shaped molecular structure. tRNAs have two regions of fundamental functional importance: the anti-codon, which is responsible for specific mRNA codon recognition, and the 3' end, to which the tRNAs corresponding amino acid is attached (by aminoacyl-tRNA synthetases). tRNAs cope with the degeneracy of the genetic code in two manners: having more than one tRNA (with a specific anti-codon) for a particular amino acid; and 'wobble' base-pairing, i.e. permitting non-standard base-pairing at the 3rd anti-codon position.
Source: RNAcentral
CAUCAGAUAGCUUAAAGUAAGCAAAAGCCUCUUAAGCUUAAAGAUGCUAGCUAACGCCUAGCUCUGAUGG